Molecule: non-coding RNA, 80 nt
Organism: Cordylochernes scorpioides
Lineage: Eukaryota; Metazoa; Arthropoda; Arachnida; Pseudoscorpiones; Chernetidae
Source: the annotation of a GenBank genome assembly
AACUCCCUAAACCCGGGAUCGAACCAGCGACCUUUAGAUCUUUAGUCUAACGCUCUCCCAACUGAGUGCUUUGUUAUAGU